GACGAACGCUGGCGGCGUGCUUAACACAUGCAAGUCGAACGAUGAAGCUGGAGCUUGCUCCGGUGGAUUAGUGGCGAACAGGUGAGUAACACGUGAGCAAUCUGCCCUUGACUCUGGGAUAACUGCGGGAAACUGUAGCUAAUACCGGAUACUUUCACUGGAAGGCAUCUUCUGGUGAAGAAAGAAUUUCGGUCAAGGAUGAGCUCGCGGCCUAUCAGCUUGUUGGUGAGGUAACGGCGCACCAAGGCGACGACGGGUAGCCGGCCUGAGAGGGUGACCGGCCACACUGGGACUGAGACACGGCCCAGGCUCCUACGGGAGGCUGAAGUGGGGAAUAUUGCACAAUGGGCGCAAGCCUGACGCAGCAACGCCGCGUGAGGGAUGAAGGCCUUCGGGUUGUAAACCUCUUUUAGCAGGGAAGAAGCGAAAGUGACGGUACCUGCAGAAAAAGCACCGGCUAACUACGUGCCAGCAGCCGCCGUAA
Molecule: ribosomal RNA, 484 nt
Filed under: uncultured bacterium
Lineage: Bacteria
Description: partial 16S ribosomal RNA
Rfam family: Bacterial small subunit ribosomal RNA
Source: RNAcentral